CCUGUUGAACUUACUUUAAAUAAAGCUAAUACUAACAAUGACCACUGCCUUUUCCUUGAUCUUGAUAUCUAUAUCAUUAACGGGAAGCUUAAUACAAAAACUUAUGAUAAAAGAGAUGAUUUUUCAUUUCCUAUCGUUAAUUAUCCAUUUUUAGAUGGUGACGUUCCCUUGUCACCAUCGUAUGGUGUUUAUAUAUCUCAACGUGUACGAUUCGCUCGUGAAUGUAAUAGCGUAUUAUAUUUUAGCGAGAGAAAUUUAUGUAUUACUGAAAAAAUAUUACACCAGGGUUUUCGAUAUCACAAACU
RNAcentral lists this long non-coding RNA (305 nucleotides) under Mytilus galloprovincialis (Mediterranean mussel). Lineage: Eukaryota; Metazoa; Mollusca; Bivalvia; Mytilida; Mytilidae. The record is from RNAcentral.